This 468-nucleotide ribosomal RNA is filed under the name uncultured bacterium. Its description in RNAcentral is "partial 16S ribosomal RNA". It matches the Rfam family "Bacterial small subunit ribosomal RNA", at positions 28 to 507 of the family's 1533-position model. The record is from RNAcentral.
GACGAACGCUGGCGGCGUGCUUAACACAUGCAAGUCGAACGGAAAGGCCCUGCUUUUGUGGGGUGCUCGAGUGGCGAACGGGUGAGUAACACGUGAGUAACCUGCCCUUGACUUUGGGAUAACUUCAGGAAACUGGGGCUAAUACCGGAUAGGAGCUCCUGCUGCAUGGUGGGGGUUGGAAAGUUUCGGCGGUUGGGGAUGGACUCGCGGCCUAUCAGCUUGUUGGUGGGGUAGUGGCUUACCAAGGCUUUGACGGGUAGCCGGCCUGAGAGGGUGACCGGCCACAUUGGGACUGAGAUACGGCCCAGACUCCUACGGGAGGCAGCAGUGGGGAAUAUUGCACAAUGGGCGGAAGCCUGAUGCAGCAACGCCGCGUGCGGGAUGACGGCCUUCGGGUUGUAAACCGCUUCCGCCUGUGACGAAGCGUGAGUGGCGGUAAUGGGUAAAGAAGCACCGGCUAACUACGUG